Long non-coding RNA from Equus caballus (horse), 8921 nucleotides. RefSeq lists it as uncharacterized. NCBI's taxonomy places the organism in Eukaryota, Metazoa, Chordata, Mammalia, Perissodactyla, Equidae. The record is from RefSeq and is a predicted model, not a curated record.
UAUCUCACGUAAAGAACAUCUCGUCUUACAGGGACACAGAGCCACUCCGUGUGAGCUACUGUUCCUGGGAACACUGGUCGUACCGAGGACAGCCCUUUGGCAAGGAUGCAGCCUUUGUUCCUCUGCCCACUUAAGCAAGCUUGCCUCAGGGGGUGGUAGUGGUGCGCAAAUCUGCGUCCAGCCGGCUGCCACUGGACUCUCUGGCCCAGUGUUGAGGUCACCUCCUCAGAGAGGCUUUCUCUGACCCCCACCUCUGCCAGGACUCUCCGCUCUAAUCCGAGGGAACUGCUAAAGAUUCAGAGAUGAGCAAGACUCGGCCCAUUUCCGGGAAGAUUCUAGUGGGGAAGUGAGAGAAUUGGGGCAUAACUACUUCAUAUGUGGAGUCGGAUGGAGGAACCUCGAGAGCACCUGCAGGCUUCUUCUGGACCAUUGCAACAGACCAUGCUACCAAGCAUUAGGAUAGAAGGUCUAUUGAAAGAAGCAACUUGAAAUAUUCUUACCAUGUUAACAAAAAAAGGAAUGUAGAUUAAAUCUCACAUUAAACCUAUAGGAAAUGAUCCUUGUGGUUUCAUGAGGUUUCCCCCAUCCCUUAAAUAUCAAGAAUAACUUUCCCUUUCAACUCUUGGUGUGUCCUCCAUCCAUAAAAACAGCUGAGGAUGUCAUAGAAGAGAAAUCGUCAAUAAAUUGUUUCAUUGGCUUGGAGGAAAGAAUCUCAUCCUGAUAACAGAUCAGAUUUAUAAGCAGAGCUGUCAGAUCAGCUUUAUAAACAGCACUGAUAACUGCUGGUCAUGCUGUUGUCAGACCUCCUGAGACCCUUCAAGGAAAGAAAGCUUUGGGACCAUCUCCUAGCAACACCAAAUGGAAUCAUUUAAUACCAAACAUUUAAUUUCUUUGCCUGACAUUCAACUUUAUAAUGUCAGGAGAGAAGGAAAAAGAGCAAAGAAACAGAGAGGAGGGUGGAGGGGAAAGAGAAAUAGGAAAGGAAGAAUGAGAAGAAGGUUGCAGAUGCUUGAGCUAGAAUACACAGGGGUAUUUGGGAAACAUUUGAAAGCUAUUUCCUUAGGUAAACAAUUUUACUCCUCAACCAGAGUAAUUGGUAAAAUUCUUGCCCUGCCCAACACAAUUUUGUCUCCAGUGGGGUUCCUGUGGGGCUCAGGAAUUGUUCCUGAGGCAGCUGUCAACCCUGCCAACUAUUUCCUUCACAGCUGUGAGCUGAUAGUUACACAUCAUUUCUGUUUCCACCACUCGACUCUCUUCCAACCUGCCAGUUUGCCUUCUCAUUUGGAACUGCUAAUGGUGCAGACAGUGGGUAGCUGAUGCUCACUCUGUCCCCAGUGCAGGGUACCGCCCCUUUCUGUGGUCUCUCUCCCUGUGGCCUGGGUACUAGAUCUAAGCUGCACUGCAUAGGACUUAGGGCUGGGCAGGUGCUCUGUGUCAGGUCCUUCUUUACACUGUACAUAGGCCACUGUGGGGAGGCUAACAUGGCCUCUGGGGUGCUCACCUCCUCUGUGGCAUUGUUCUGGUAUGGUAGUGGGAUCCAUCUGCUGUAGCCUAAGCUGGCUGUUCUCAAACUGGAGCAUGCAUCAGAAUGGCCAGCAAUGUCUGUUAAACUCAGACUGCUGGUUCCCACCUUCAGCGUUUCUUAUUUGGUAGAUCUGGGGUAGGCUCCGGAGCUUGCAUUUCUAAUCAGUGCCCAGGAGAUGCUGACAUUGUCGGUCCAGACCUUUAAAUACAGCAUUUCUCACUUUGAUAAUCACUGGCCUAAGCCAUAGCAAUGAGCUUGUUGUUCCCUUUGCUUCAGUUUAACGACAUUGUGGCUUUUUUCCAUUUUUUUUCUGUGGGGGAGUGGCAAGAAUGGUUAUGUGGCUGUCACAGCUGUCCAAGGCAACAAAGUUUGGCAACAGAAAAAACAAGAAGUGGUCAGGGUUAGGGAUAUAUUAGAGGUAGUGUCCAUAGGAUUUACUGGGGAAUUGAACAAGGGGUAGCAGGAAAAAGAGAAAUUGUGGAUAAUUUCUAGGGGUUGGACCUGAGCAAUGUUGAAGGAUGUUAUUUGCUGAAAUGAGAGAACAGACUGGGGGAAGAGGAUUCACAGUGGGGAGUAGAGGUUGGAAAUCAAUUCUGUUUUGAUAUUUAAUUUGAGAUGUCCUUUCAACACCAGAGCAUCCAGUAGGUGGUGGAUAUGUGAAUCUUGAACUCAGGCAAGGGAUAUAAAUUCUAGGGCCAGCAGAAGUCAAAUGAUAUUAAUGCCACGAGUCUGGGAGAGAUGUAUAGACCUGGAAAAAUGAAGGAUGAAGAAAGAGUCCUGGAGCAUCCAAGCCCUGGGUCUUUUGGCUUCAUUAUGUCAUGCAAACCCUCAAAAUGCUAUUUUAGAUGAAAAUAGAGAGUAUCGUAGUUGAGCAGGACAAGGAUCUGGUCUCCUAUGUGAAAAGUACAAAAGGCUAUAGUCAUAGCCACUAUAUUACAGUGGAAAGUGUCAUUAACAUGAUGGCCAAGUCCUAAAUUUAAAAUCUUUUUUAAAUCAUCAAAUAGAAAAUAUAUGAAUAAAAGUGUAAUUAGAAACAUGGACUAAUGAUCUAAGCAGUGAAUACAGCAUAUUGUAAUGUAUUUUUACUUGAUUUUUGAUAAGUCUAAGCAGUAAUAAGGAUUAUGUCAUUUGUAUCUUAAAAGAUUUAUCUAGGACUUUGAUAAACGCCAAGUCCGUGAUUGCAGUUAUCUUAAAAUAACUCACUCAAUUAAUUUUAAGUAUGUGUAGAGGGGGCAGGGCAGAGGAAUGAGAUCACUCUGUAUGAAUGAUGGAUAGCUUUUGGCGUGCUAAUAAGAGCUAUGAAGUAGGAAUGGAGGAUGUCAGCAUGCACACUCACCAUCACACAGCUGCCACUUGCAAAUUGGAAAGAAAAAUAAUACCAGGCCAGCAUGAGCAAAGCUAAGCCGGAAUUUCAGAAUUGCCAAAAGUCUAGAAAAUCUUCGGAGAGGAAAGAAAUGAACCAAGAACUAUAUAUUUCACGGCAGCACUCUGUGAAAAAGACUGAAUGCCUUAAAAGAUUUAUUUAAAAUACCUAAAAAUUGGAAAUAAAAUAUUGUUUUAAAAUACAAAGCUUAACUAUUGAAGGCGUCUGUUUGUCUCAGACAAAACCUUGACUCUGGAUAUGUUCCAUUAUCGUAUAGCUUGUUCUAGCCAAAAUUCUUCAUAAAAAGCAGAGAAAGGUAGAUUUGUACAGUAAUCACAUUUUAUUACCUUAUACAUUCACAGUCUCUUCCUAAGGUGAGAUCAGGAGAGAGGGGAAUUUUCUAUCAUUUGUGCAUUUAUUCCAGACAGAAGUCCUGGUUCCAACUCCUGCUCCUCUUGACCAUCUAUGUAAACUUGGACAAGAUAGUUAACCAAGUGUCAGUUUCUGCAUGUGAAAGGGGAUACUAGUGAUACCAUCUUAUCAGCUUGUUAAGAGGAUGAAAGGAGGUAAUUCACGUAAUCUGCUCUGCACCAUAACUAGUACACAGCAAGCACUCAACAAAUGAUGGCUAUGGUUAUUAGAUGACAUCGAUCUUGCUUUCUAGGUCAUAUGAUCAAGUAUAAAGAAAGUUAAAAUCUGCCUCUAAUGUAAAGCAGAAUAAGGUAAAAGUCAGAUCAGUGUAAACAAUGGUGUAGGAAUUCUGAAAAGGAGGCAAUCCCAUACAUAAUGGAACGUGGGACAGGAUCUUUUGGAGGAUGGUGGAAACAGAGUAGAGACGUGAGCAGCAGGGGACUGAAGGGGAAAGAAUGAAUUCCUCUCUGUCUGCCAUUGUAGUCAGCCAAGGGUGGUGAUCAGACUCAGCCGUUGAGUCCAAUCACUGCUAGAAGUUGGAAGUCUACCAUUUCCAGCCUUCAAAAUCCUGCCACAGGACUAGAGAGAGAAAGUACUUCACCGGUGGUUUGAUCUGAGAAAGCUUUUGGAAGGUUUGCUAGUUGACAUCAUAACAGUUUUUAUAAAAUCAUGUAUUUGUUUCUUAAGGUAGGAAGCCGGGCUCUGUAAAAGUAUUCUUGGGGGCACCAUUCCAGUGAUCGUUUUUGGGAUUCCUCUUUUGCAAAUGCCUUCACACAUUUUUGGACUAUCCUAAUUGAUACCAUAUCUUUAGUCUUUGAAAGAUGAUUGAUUUUCUUCUUAACUAAAAUACACCUGAACCAAAUAUUGAUUAUAUCAGCCAUUAUAAUAUUUUUGGUUAAAAACUAAGUAGUUCUCUAAUGAAAUGUGACAUUAGAAAAAAACUUGUACAUGAUUGAUCAAAUCAUUAUGUUCUUUUGGACUACACAUAUUUUGGCAUUUAAUUAACCCACCUACUACCAUUACUUUAUAGUCUUAUUUUCAUAAAUGUCUAUGAUGAGAAGUUGAUAGAUGUGACAUAAUUAUUGGAGAACAAAUAUAUCUAGAGUGAUGCAUCGUAUGAUUAUUGCUAGAGGGAACUGCUUUGUGAUUCACAAACAUUUUUGCCAAAAGAUUCCCUACUUGCUUCAAAGAGAUCGUGACCAAAUUUUGUCACCACCAAUUUGAUCUACCAUCCACCUUUUUCAGACACCUUCUCAUUUUCCCUGGUUUAGCCAUCCUUAGCUAGCUCCUUCAAGACUAUACACCUGAGAGCUCCCACAACUCUCCAAUACAUCUGUGUCUGAGCUAGUCUUGACAUAUUGAUGCAGUACCACAAGUAACUUAAGACUUCCAUGCAAGGAAAGAUGUAACACUACAGUCACGUUUAAUUCCUUCAACAACCAGCAAAUCUAUUACCAUAUUUAAAAUCACUGGAGGUUAAAAUGAAAACAAAUUGAAUAAAUUGUAAAGACAAGCAAGAAUGCUUUUGUCUGGUUCAAAUUACUGAAUGUUUCUUUCACUUCUUCUAAUCUAGUUUAGUGAGUCUAAGACUUACAGUGUGUAAGUGUCAUUAUAUAUCAUGGGUGAUUUAGUGGAUUUCCUAGGAAUAAAUUUGGAAUAGAUUUUAUUUUGGCCUUAGCUCUGAUUUUACGGCCAAUGCCUCCCUCCUUAACCUCCACCCCCCUCCAGACACACACACCAUCUUGACUUCAGAUUUUCAUAUGGAUGUGCCUUAGAAGUGGGUCACAUUCCUGGAUCAUUCCCCAAAACCUCACUUCCCAUUGCACCUUGUGCCAUUAUAAAACUGAUACCUUCUUGCUCUGAUAUCAACACCCUUCCUUGACUAGUAUGGUAGGGGAAAGCCGAUGAGUUGAGUUGAAAAAGUAGACAUAUGUGGAGUUCAUUUCAUUUGCAGAUUAAUUAUUACUUUAAUAAAAAGAGGUGAUAAAUAUAGUUCACAGUUAAAAAAUAAGUUCAGAUUCUUAAGACACUUCAGUAGUGGCAGCUUAACUUGUAUUGACUUUUUUCUUUCUUUUCUUUUUGGAAAUUCUGAUAUUUUAUUUCUUUGUGUUCUAGCACUCAGCAACUUAUAGCUUCACUUAUAAGUUAAGCAUGCAAUAAAUAGCAUAGGUUUACAUGUUAAAUAAUAUUCUAUAUGUAGGGAGAAAUGUUUAAAAAACCUGUGGUGCACUAAGUCUUCUUUUUUAAAUUGCAAGUUAAGUUAUUAGUUUAUCCUUCUGAAGUCAGUACAAACUUUACGAGGAAGGUACGUAAAUAGACAUAUAGCAAUUUGCCAUCAGUCACACAGAGAAACACAGCAGAGCUGGAAUCAAAACAGGCAUUUCUCAACGAAGGCAAUGUAGGUAGCUGCCUACAUGGUGUAAUUUGAUGGUGAGAUUUUUCUUUCCUAAAAUAUCUCUACUGAAAUGUUAUCACUUCUUUUGGUUCACAAGAUAAUCUUAGAAAAUGUAAAUAUUCUAGAAGGGUUAUGACAGUAAGGAAGCUAACAGACCUUAAUAAAAGCAGAAUCAUAGAAAUGUAACAUCUUAUAAUUAUGAGUUCUUUCAUGUUAUUUAGUUCAGUUCCUUGCCCAAUUCCUAAGGCCCCUCCUUGUUUCUUCUGACUGGUGGCUGUCCAGGCAAAAGUACUCCCACUAACUUCCUUUCCUGAGAGAGCCGACCACUCCACUGAUGACCAUCUCAUUUGCUUUUUCAACUUUAUGGAGAUAUAAUCAAUAUAUAACUAUGUAAGUUUAAGGCAUACAAUGUGAUGAUUUGAUACAUGCAUGCUUUGCAAAAUGAUUAUGGUGACAUAUUUUUUUUAGUUGUGAAGGAUGACUAGAUUUAUCAUCAAUCCAGAAACCUGGGAGUCAUUUUGACUCCUCUCUCUCCUUUGCCUAUCACACCCAACGGGUGACCAGAUCCUGUUGAUCUGAGGGCCAUCUCUCACUCGCUCUGAGGCGCAGCAAUGAAGUGUGAAGUGCUGGGGCCUGGGAGUUGGAGAGACAUGGUUCUUUUCUCGAGAGGCUAAUCUGGGUUGUGCCCCUUUCUGCGUGUGUGAAAUUGGCGUGUGUGGCAAUUUUUUAGGGCUUCAAAUCGUGCAUCUGGAAAAGAGAGAUAAAAUGCCCACUUCAUAAAGUUGCUGGGGCUGUUUGAAAUGUUAUAUAAUUAUCUAGUGUAACACCUGGUAAAGAGUCAAAACUUAAAUGCAAUUUCCUUCUAUUUACGUAUCCAAAGUGUCCCCUUAUGGUAACUUCUACUAAGUAGUGUUAGUUCUGUCUUCUGGAUCCACAAAUAAUAGGUUUUAUUCCUCCCUUCCUUUCGCUCUCCUUUCCGUCUUCUCUUCCUCCUCCCCCGCCCCUAUUUUUUCUUUACUCUCUGUAUUUAACAGGAAGAUGGCUAAUCUCUUUCUUUGAUUUACCAGUGUCAUAAUUAUGUGAAAGAAAUAAUAUGGUUAUUUUGACAUAAUUUGUUCCUCCUAAACCGAUGUAUAUUUAUACCCCUAAUUACCAAUAUAUUCUUUGCUUAGUAACACAACCCAUCUGGUUGAUGACUGAUAACCUAUUAUAGACUUUUGCUUGAUUUUGAAAUUAGCUAUUUUUCCUUAAAUUUCCUUUCCUCCUUUUCAAAAUGGGGAUAGAACUUGCUCAUGUUCUUACACUUGACAUGAUUACUUUACUAUUGCCAGUAAAUAAAGUUUGAAAUGAAAUUGGCCUAUUGAUGUAAAUUCAUCUAAAAUAUCUAGAUAGUCUUGCCAUUUAACUGUUCUGUUCUCCACUCUAUUUUAUUUGGUUUAUCAUUUCCAGUUUGAAGAUAUUUCUCUUAGAAACAAUUGUUUUGUCUUCUCUUUAGCAUCUGUUAGCAUUAGACCAUCUAUUCCAAACACUGAAGCUAUUCCUUUUUUAUUCUUGUCCAGAACAUAGUUAAAAUAAAGCCCUUCUAGUUCUCUGUCAUUCUUUUCAAGACUUAGUUCAUUCUGGGUUUUACCAUUCCUCAGACUGAGCUCUGAGUAUCAUAACACUCCCGUGUGUUUGUUCUUGGGUGUGGACUUCUCUUUUCAACUUUUGUAAAUGUGCUUUGAAAACCCAUCCACUUAAUAGAUAGAAUGCCCUUUGUGUGACUCUGGCUUUCUCUUUUUCUUCAUUUGUAUUUGUAUACUCAGAAUGUAAUAUUUAAAAAUUAAAUUUAAAUUUUCUCUUGAGAAUUGUAGAAUCUUCUUUGGAUCUGAACAUGGGAUCAUGCCUGUCUCUGAUAGGCACCAAAUUGUGAGAAUUUACUCCUGGGUAAGUUACACAUCUGUAUGGUCGUUUUGUAUAUGUCUGUUUCUCACACUGGACUCAAACUCCACGAGGGCGGGAACCAUGGCUCUUUCUCUUACCAUAGUUUUCUCAGCAACUCACCCAGGGUCUAGAACAUAAAAGACCCUCAGUGAGAAUUCAUUGAAUGCAAUUAUUUAAUAAAUAUUAGCUUUGAGUGUCUGCUUGCCCUCAGCAUUGCACAGAGUUCAGAUGCUUGAGUCUUCUGAACACUGACAAAGGGCUGAGAGCACAAUACAGCAGAUGCUUUUCCUUGUUAUGAAUCAGAGAAAUGUUCAACAAGCUGGCACCAGAACUGUUUCCUUUAUGUCACUCUUCCUCUGCUAAAACUCUGUCCAAAUUUUCACAAACUUCUGCUUUUAGACCAAGGUCAAAGAAUAUCCCCAUUUCACUUACGUAUUCAUUUUCUCAACCCAUGACUCAUUUAUUUCCAAGCAAGCUCAAAGCAGCAAUCUGAAAAGCACAUUCCAAGCUCACAGUCAUUGUCUGAUCCAUUUGUGGUGAUCAUUUGAAUUCAGUCAAGGUCCAGUAAGACAGUGCCACAAACCAGCUCCCUGGACAUUGUGUGGAAAGGUCCAGAUGUCACUGACACACAGUGAUGAAUUUACAGCUGGCUGGGUGGGACAGAAGAGCUGGAGUCACUGUGACUGGUUGACUUGGCGAGACCACUUAAGUUCUCAUGCUAUUAUUUCUGAUUAUCUUAAACCAGGAACAUUUUCGCAACUAAGGCUGGGGGUAAGGGAAGGAAGAAAAAUAUUGCUAAACAUAAUUUAAAAGUAUUUCAAUAGAUUUUGAAUAACUUUAUCCAUGUGAAAAGAAUUGCAUUAAAUGCAAUGGAAUUUAAAAUGAAGUAGAAAACAGUAGAAUUUCAAAUGAAAUAAAAAUAAAGCUGCUAACACCUGAGCUGCAAUAAACAUUAUUUAGAAUGUGGUGUUGAACUUAAAACUAUACAGUAGUCUGCCCUUAUCUGCAGUUUCACUUUCCAUGAUUUCAGUUACCUGAGGUCACCUCCCCUGGGAGCAGAUGAUCCUCCUUCUGAUGUAUCGUCAGAGGGUCAAUAGUAGCUUCAUGCUAGGUCACAAUGCCUACGUCGUUCACCUCACUGCAUCUCAACACGUAGGCACUGUAUCAUCUCACAUCAUCACAAAAAGAAGGGUGAGUACAGUACAGUAAGAUAUUUUGAGAGAGAGACCGCAUUCACAUAACUGUUAUUACAGUACAUUGUUAUAGUUCUAUUUUAUUAUUAGUUAUUGUUAAUCCCUUACUGU